This 451-nucleotide ribosomal RNA is filed under the name uncultured bacterium. RNAcentral's name for it is "partial 16S ribosomal RNA". It matches the Rfam family "Bacterial small subunit ribosomal RNA", at positions 354 to 796 of the family's 1533-position model. The record is from RNAcentral.
GUGGGGAAUAUUGGACAAUGGGGGGAACCCUGAUCCAGCCAUGCCGCGUGUGUGAAGAAGGCAUUUUGGUUGUAAAGCACUUUAAGCGAGGAGGAGGCUACCGAGAUUAAUACUCUUGGAUAGUGGACGUUACUCGCAGAAUAAGCACCGGCUAACUCUGUGCCAGCAGCCGCGGUAAUACAGAGGGUGCAAGCGUUAAUCGGAUUUACUGGGCGUAAAGCGCGCGUAGGUGGCCAAUUAAGUCAAAUGUGAAAUCCCCGAGCUUAACUUGGGAAUUGCAUUCGAUACUGGUUGGCUAGAGUAUGGGAGAGGAUGGUAGAAUUCCAGGUGUAGCGGUGAAAUGCGUAGAGAUCUGGAGGAAUACCGAUGGCGAAGGCAGCCAUCUGGCCUAAUACUGACACUGAGGUGCGAAAGCAUGGGGAGCAAACAGGAUUAGAAACCCCGGUAGUCC